UACGUAGGUGGCAAGCGUUGUCCGGAUUUAUUGGGUUUAAAGGGUGCGUAGGUGGUCUAUUAAGUCAGUGCUGAAAUAUCCCGGCUUAACCGGGAGGGUGGCAUUGAUACUGAUGGACUUGAGUGGAGUUGAGGUAGGCGGAAUUGGCGGUGUAGCGGUGAAAUGCUUAGAUAUCGUCAAGAACACCAAUAGCGAAGGCAGCUUACUAAGCUCUAACUGACACUGAUGCACGAAAGUGUGGGGAUCAAACAGG
This 253-nucleotide ribosomal RNA is filed under the name uncultured bacterium. Its description in RNAcentral is "partial 16S ribosomal RNA". It matches the Rfam family "Bacterial small subunit ribosomal RNA", at positions 524 to 776 of the family's 1533-position model. The record is from RNAcentral.